Long non-coding RNA from Vidua chalybeata, 1026 nucleotides. RefSeq lists it as uncharacterized. NCBI's taxonomy places the organism in Eukaryota, Metazoa, Chordata, Aves, Passeriformes, Viduidae. The record is from RefSeq and is a predicted model, not a curated record. The transcript is spliced from 3 exons.
GUUGAUCAAUGCCUCUUCAACUGAUUUAUCACUGUUAGAUCUUUGCAGAACAGGUAAAACAUGAAGAGGUGUCAAAAGAUGUCCAUAAACAAAAAGAUGGUUAAGAAGGUUGGACUGCAGGGUUUGCUGCCAGAAGAGCUACAAAGUGAACUUGCCAUUCAUUAAGGACCAUGAGAGUGUAACAUCAAGGAAGCAGAGGCCCAGAAGGCAGGGUGAGGGCACAGAACUGGUUCUGAAGCACAUGAUGUGCUGUACAGACUCAACCCUCUGUAUGCAAAGCACUUGGCAUGCAAAUGUCAGGGAGCAUUUUCUGACACGAGAGCAGCCCAAGCCACAGAAACCUUGCAGCACUUUUAGUACAUCCCAAUGCAAUGUGAGAUCACUUCCCGGCCAGGAUGUGACUGGAGUGAAAGAUGAUAAUAAUCCAAAUUCAAUAUCAUUUACCAUUUUUUUAAUGCAUCAAAUUAUUUCAUAAAUUUGAGUUUAAAAACCACCGCCUGUACAUUAUAUUAAAUUUUGAUUUUUAGUGAGAAUAAGAGGUCUUGCUGUAUGUUCUGAGCAAUACUGGUGCUUGCCACAAAAUGGUUACUACAGGAUGUCAGUUUCUUGCUUUAGCUGCCCUGAAAGCUCUUCCAUUAAAAGCAAAUCCAUCUCAUUGCCAAUAUGAGGCAGAAGAUCAUGAAGAAGUAGUUUGAUCCUUACAUACACCCCAGUGAGCCUUGAGAGGUAGAAAGAGACUGGUUUUUGUAACUCUUGUAACACAACUCAUCUUCCUUUUGACCAGAUUUUGUUUUCAGGCCUUUUAAAGAUGAAUUUAUGUGAUUUGACAUUAAAAUAAAAAUAUAGGAAUGAUGAUGGACAGUUCUAUGACUGUGUACAAAAAAUACAUUACAGGUUAACUAUUUACAGCAGUGUUUUGGGGUUAUUUCUGAAUGGCUGCUCUAGGCAUAUAUGUUGGAUAUAUUUACUCUGCACAUUUUAAUCCUUUUCACACAAAAACUGAAUAAUAAAUUCAGCCUGCACACA